GAGGGAGGGAGGAGGGAGGACAAAUCAUACUUAGUACAUAAACACACCCACACUUUUUUUAUGACCAUUUUGCUACUGUUUUGUUAAACAAUGGAACCUAUUAAAUUUUGGGAUUUUCCUCCCAACUGUGAAAAAAAUAAACAAGCAGAAUUUUAUUUCAGUGUUUGUUUUGGCAUCAGGUUUAAUUAUUUUUCUUUUCUUUUGGUUAUAUCAGCUCGCCGCCUCUGGUCUGUCAGCGUUAGCCCCUCAUACAGGAGUACUAUGGGGUUCUGGUGGAGCACAUAUUAAAAAUAAUAAAAAAACAAGCAAUUUCACAAACACCAAAACCUGGAGGAGGUUUGGGAAGAAGAGCAGAGCCUGGAGAGAAUAAAUAGAAACAGAGCUACAAACCAGAUUAAGGAUCAAAGGACCCAACUUCUUCCUAAAACAUUCGACUUUAUAAAAUACCAUCCUGGGAGCAAAAUGACUCAUUCAAAUGGCAUACAGUGUGAGGAUGGAAGGGACAGGGAGGCUGCAGAGCAGCAAGAGGCCUACAUCAGCAGUCUGGCAGAUUUGAUUUGGAAAAUUCUGAUGAUAUAUAAGAAACUAGAGAUUAAUAUCAUCCCAUAGAAUCAUUCUUCCAUUCCUUCCUCCUGUACAGAGCACCUCCACCAUGAGAGAUGCUAUGCAAGACACGACCCAGUCAAUACAUCCUUUUGAGGAAUAUCAAUUAACAUUGUCCAGCAGUUCAAGAACCUCAAGGCUGACUAUCCUUCGCAAAGGAGGCCGAACAGCUCCUGUGUCUGGAGGGCAUGGCCUGAGGCAGCACCGACACCUGGGAACAAAGAGAACCAUCCAUGGAACUCUGGGCCUUGCCUCUGGAUGGAAGAUUAAACUGCCUUACAAGGAAAGUGCCCAGGGAGAUGUGCUGGUGGGCCCUUAG
RNAcentral lists this long non-coding RNA (922 nucleotides) under Ailuropoda melanoleuca (giant panda). Its description in RNAcentral is "lncRNA (ENSAMEG00000031170.1)". The record is from RNAcentral. Lineage: Eukaryota; Metazoa; Chordata; Mammalia; Carnivora; Ursidae.